Odobenus rosmarus divergens (Pacific walrus) is the source of this 485-nucleotide RNA transcript. It is a transcript of the gene named phosphatidylinositol N-acetylglucosaminyltransferase subunit P-like, with no coding region annotated. NCBI's taxonomy places the organism in Eukaryota, Metazoa, Chordata, Mammalia, Carnivora, Odobenidae. The transcript has a single exon. The record is from RefSeq and is a predicted model, not a curated record.
GGCGCUGAAGUGGCCGAGCUGUUGGGAGGGGCCUGAGUGGGCGCUUCGAGGACCCAAGAUUGUCUAAAGCCACAGGGAAAAUGGUGGAAAAUUCACCGUCGCCAUUGCCAGAAAGAGCGAUUUAUGGCUUUGUUCUUUUCUUAAGCUCCCAAUUUGGCUUCAUCCUGUAUCUCGUGUGGGCAUAUAUUCCUGAAUCUUGGCUAAACUCCUUAGGAUUAACCUAUUGGCCUCAAAAAUACUGGGCAAUUGCAUUGCCCGUCUACUUCCUCAUUACUACAGUAAUUGGUUACGUACUCUUAUUUGGAAUAAACAUGAUGAGUACCUCUCCACUCAACUCCAUUCAUACAAUCACAGAUAACUAUGCUAAAAAUCAACAGCAGAAGAAAUACCAAGAAGAGGCCAUCCCAGCAUUAAGAGAUAUUCCUAUUAGUGAAGUAAACCAAAUGUUCUUCCUGGCAACUAAAUAACUUUAUGCCAAAAACUAA